CGUAGGGUGCGAGCGUGUCCGGAAUUACUGGGCGUAAAGAGCUCGUAGGCGGUUUGUCACGUCGUCUGUGAAAUCCCUCGGCUUAACCGGGGGCGUGCAGGCGAUACGGGCAGACUUGAGUACUACAGGGGAGACUGGAAUUCCUGGUGUAGCGGUGAAAUGCGCAGAUAUCAGGAGGAACACCGGUGGCGAAGGCGGGUCUCUGGGUAGUAACUGACGCUGAGGAGCGAAAGCAUGGGUAGCGAACAGGAUUAGAUACCCUGGUAGUCCAUGCCGUAAACGGUGGGCGCUAGGUGUGGGGUCCUUCCACGGACUCCGUGCCGUAGCUAACGCAUUAAGCGCCCCGCCUGGGGAGUACGGCCGCAAGGCUAAAACUCAAAGGAAUUGACGGGGGCCCGCACAAGCGGCGGAGCAUGUGGAUUAAUUCGAUGCAACGCGAAGAACCUUACCUAGGCUUGACAUAUACAGGACGACGGCAGAGAUGUCGUUUCCCUUGUGGCUUGUAUACAGGUGGUGCAUGGUUGUCG
This 527-nucleotide ribosomal RNA is filed under the name uncultured bacterium. RNAcentral's name for it is "bacterial SSU rRNA". It matches the Rfam family "Bacterial small subunit ribosomal RNA", at positions 526 to 1054 of the family's 1533-position model. The record is from RNAcentral.